GCGGGCGUGGCGGAAUUGGCAGACGCACCAGGUUUAGGUCCUGACGGGGAAACCUGUGGGAGUUCGAGUCUCCCCGCCCGCACCA
Molecule: transfer RNA, 85 nt
Filed under: Coriobacteriales bacterium
Lineage: Bacteria; Bacillati; Actinomycetota; Coriobacteriia; Coriobacteriales
Description: tRNA-Leu
Rfam family: tRNA
About the family: Transfer RNA (tRNA) molecules are approximately 80 nucleotides in length.
Source: RNAcentral